RNAcentral lists this transfer RNA (77 nucleotides) under Variovorax paradoxus. Its description in RNAcentral is "tRNA-Pro". It matches the Rfam family "tRNA". From Rfam's summary of the family: Transfer RNA (tRNA) molecules are approximately 80 nucleotides in length. Their secondary structure includes four short double-helical elements and three loops (D, anti-codon, and T loops). The record is from RNAcentral. Lineage: Bacteria; Pseudomonadati; Pseudomonadota; Betaproteobacteria; Burkholderiales; Comamonadaceae. RNAcentral also lists the same sequence under 58 other names.
CCGUGUGUGGCGCAGCCUGGUAGCGCAUCUGGUUUGGGACCAGAGGGUCGCAGGUUCAACUCCUGCCACACGGACCA